Mustela lutreola (European mink) is the source of this 506-nucleotide long non-coding RNA. RefSeq lists it as uncharacterized. Lineage: Eukaryota; Metazoa; Chordata; Mammalia; Carnivora; Mustelidae. The transcript is spliced from 4 exons. The record is from RefSeq and is a predicted model, not a curated record.
UCACUACACCCAGGAGCAGCCACUUCCCCAGCUCUCCUCCUCCUUCGCCUCCUCCUCCUCCACUCCCCCCCCUUUAUUACCCUUUGUGUCAUCCUCCACAGCUCCAGGGAAGGCACUCAAAAGUGGGGGGCAGGAAAGAUGUUGAACCAGCCUUGCAGCCCAGGAAUAAAUCCCACUUGGUCAUGGUGAAUUAUCCUUUUAAUGUACUAUUGGAUCCUAUUGGCUAGCAUUUUGGUGAGAAUUUUCGCAUCUGUGUUCAUCAAGAUGCUUUUUGAGGAAAUCAGUUUCUGCAUGUGGGAAGUAGAUAUUGAAGGUUAUAUGGUUUACAGACAAGAUCUUUAAAAUAUAGAUACUCAAGGACCAAGGAAAUAAAUACCAGAAGCCAAGAGCACAGAAUAUUUUCUGUCAUCAAUCCACAGAACCUUGAUACUUCUUUAAUUCCAUCACACACAAAGGAAUGACCACCUUGGCAGAUGGCCACAGAGGAUGUCAACAAUUUCUUGGAG